Molecule: ribosomal RNA, 147 nt
Filed under: uncultured eukaryote
Lineage: Eukaryota
Description: partial 18S ribosomal RNA
Rfam family: Eukaryotic small subunit ribosomal RNA
Source: RNAcentral
UGGUGGAGUGAUUUGUCUGGUUAAUUCCGUUAACGAACGAGACCUCGACCUGCUAAAUAGUUCGCAUCACACUUCGGUGUGUUGACACAACGUGACUUCUUAGAGGGACUAUCGGUGUGUAGCCGAUGGAAGUUCGAGGCAAUAACA